Trematomus bernacchii (emerald rockcod) is the source of this 927-nucleotide long non-coding RNA. RefSeq lists it as uncharacterized. NCBI's taxonomy places the organism in Eukaryota, Metazoa, Chordata, Actinopteri, Perciformes, Nototheniidae. The transcript has 5 exons. The record is from RefSeq and is a predicted model, not a curated record.
UUUUUAUAUUGAAACUACUAAGUAAAUGCACUUUUUACAAUUAAAUCAAGAGACUUUAAUUGCAUUUAUGUAAAAGUUCAAAGUUUUGGGAUUACAUUACCAUGUUGUGUUGUAUUUAAAUGGUAAAGUUAUUUAAAACGCACUGAUUGUCCCAAAGUGCUUGCCGUACUUUCUCAGCACAUGCGCUGUAAGACCGGGGACAUGUGUCAUUUGAAUCCUGUGACUGUGAGAUGACAGAACCGCAUUUUUUCCCUUUCCUGUGCCAUCCUGCGAUGUUAUGGUUUUGAAUGUGGAGAUGCAAACAGUGUACUGAGACUCAAUCUACAAGGUAAACGCAGAAUUCACCCGCAUCACCACCGUUCCGCUGCUGCCUACCUUCAUGUCUCAACUGGAUCGCCAUUCGUCUCAGUUGAUGAAGGUUUUCAAAAAGAAGGGGGGAACAGCAGGAUGCAAUUUGGGCCUGAUCAUGGCAGCCAUGGACAAGGAUCCCACAGUUGAAACACGACGGGACUGUGUCCUUAAAGCGCUCUGCGUCUACUUGAAUGAAAGUUCCGAGAGCUUCAUAAAGGAAUAUUUGGAUGUUGAACUUGCAACAACCCAAAUGGAGCCAAUGGUAUUGGGACUCUAUCUCGUGAAACACGAAGGAGCAGAACCCGGGCGUCAUCAUCGAGGGUGUUGGAGUGCUGCGAGAGCUGAAAUACUUGGCAAAUGGAUGGGCAGUAUUGCUUGGACUGAUUUACAGCCUCAAUCUGAGCUACCCCAAGGACCUGAAACAUACAUUUGAAUUCAUUCAAAAAGUAUUGAUGGGGUUGGAUGGCAACAGACUGUCAACCAAGGUGCAGGUUCUGAAAAACAGAUUACAAGAGUAAUCCCAAGGACAAAAUACUGUGACAGAGAUAACGUCCAGUUCAUUUCCAUCUCGGUACA